GCUAUAGUAAUCUCCAAUAGAAUAAUUACAAAGUUAUCAACCUUUUUAGAAAUUCAGUAAUGCUUUAUAUUUUUUAUCAUCUAUCAAUUCAUUAUGAAUUAUUUUCUAUUUCAGAGGCAACAAACCAUAAUCAUGGAGGGGGGGGUUUUAAACCCGUCCCCUACCCCAGAGGGGUUUAUAUCGUUGGGGUCGGUGGGCCCCUACGACAUAUUCAUAGAGAAAGACGUCAAUAUAACGGUAUGGUGUCUUAAACGAUGCUGAUUAGUUUAUAUUUUUUUAAUUUUGAAAGAUAUAUUGCUUGAUACCAAUUGGGCAUAAUUAUGAACAUCGAAGAAUCAGCUGACAUGUGAUCAAAACAAUGAAACAGAAUAAUCAUACAUGUUUACUAAAUGAUUCCUCGUUUACUUAUGUGGCAACUUUAACAUACAUUUUUCAUACUGGUAUGAACUAAAGUAUUCAAUUUUUGAUAAAUAUAUGGUACUCACGGUAACGGUCAUCACUGGUCGACGCUAUCCCGACUCAACCCCUCAGCUUGAAUGAUUUCAGUUUGAGCCGCACGUGCUACCUAUGCAACCAACUAAACUUUGAGUGCAUUAUUCUGCCUAAACGGUCGCAGGCGCUGAAUUUAUAUUUGGAACGCAUAUAUGACUGCAUAAAAUAAGUGUGCAUAAUUAUGACCAGAGCGUCUGAAGGGGUUAAAUUUUUAAAAAUUUUUUUGUUUUUAUCGAAUGCCUUAUCAUAACAUCGAAACAUCUAAAUUUAGCCAAGAUUCAAAUCUAAGAAGGUAUAUGUAGAAGUUGUUAAAUAUGUAUCUAAUUAAUUUGAAGAGGAUUAUAUCAGGUUUGUUAGUAAUCAUAUAGAUAUGAAGAACAAAAUAAAUUUCAACAAUAUGAGAGUGUCAAGUUGGCAAAAAUAAAAUGAUAAAUACCUUUAGUUAGUUGAAACUAAAAAUAUGAAGGUACCAAGCAGCCCAUCACAAAAAGCUAUUUCAUAUCCUCCAUAGCUACUAAGCGAAUGUGCCCCUUCAGGAAUUCGCGCUCCUGACCAUCCCCACAAAAUAGUAAGAGUAAGGGGCUGAAAUGAUUGGUAAUAAUAAUAAUAUAAUAGUUAUUUUAUUAGAUAAAAUAUUACUCCAUAGCGAAUUAUUCUAAUAAUUGAUAGAAAUAUGUACACAAAGCAACCACUCUAUCCUUGUGCAGAAAUGUAAUUGAUUUGAAUAAUAGGGAUCUUUCGUUUUUCCGCAAAAGGAAAUGCAGAGAUACCACAUUAUUCCUGAUAAAAAUGCAACAUUGUAACAAAUUAUCAGCUGCUUCGUUCGAAUGAUAGUUCAGGAUAUGAAGCACUGAUUGAAGUCGUUUUAAAUAAUAUUUUCUAAAAAAAAAGCUUGUGGGGUUGGGUAAGGUCAAGGUAACAUUUUCAUUGGAUAUGAGUAUAUCUCCUAUUUUUUCGCAAUAGAAUCCGAUUGAAUGGGGAGAUAUCCGAAAACUGCAAUGCGUAAUUACUACUAUAUAUAUUUUUUUUUAGAAGGUGGGACACACAUUCUACAUUUAUCUGUAAAAUAAUCGUUUUCAUAACUCGCAGUAUUUCGCCGUUUAUUCGUUGACCCAAGAGAAGAUCGCUCUCAGCCCUCACGAUGACAAACGAUAUCUAGUAUCUGGAACCUUUGAAACACUACCCUGGGACCAUUAUUCCAUCAACAAACGAAAAACAGAAGAACCUGAUGAGCCAAGGAAGAAGAUUACUAUAUUGGAAACACUAUUAACUAUGUAACACUCUGUAAUUGUUUUCCACUAAUUGUAUAAUAAAUAACCAAAUUCAAUUAUUUGUAAAUAGGUAAAACACCUCUUACUUCAAAUGAAAAAACACUUUAUGGAAUAAACGUAUUAUAAGUGGAUGGCCUUUUAUUCCCGAACACAAUUGGAUCUCCACAGCCUGUAUAUUCAUAAUUAGCAAUCAUAACGCUUCCGUUUGUGACAUCAAGAUAUGAAAAUUCCCAGCUAAUAGUUUGUUGUUGAUAAAUCCUAUUAUCAGGUAUUAUGAGGUAGGUUUGAAUAAUAAAUAGAUGAUUAGAGAGUUUAACAUAUCCUAGUCAACCUAUUUCAAGAUAUGAAUUCAGUGAAUUUCCGAACAAGGCUGUGAAAUAGAUACACUACUCAAACUACCACGUCAGAUAGACGUAUUACUAAAGCAAUCAAAAAACUCUUUUGAGUAUGGUCAUAUCAAUCUAAGUAAUAUUUUUUUUUUGAUGAAAUUGAGGUGUUCUGUUGAUUAGUAUUGCGUAUCAUAAUCAUCAUAAAUAGGAUGCACCCAAGAUUGCAAAACAUCUAAGGUCGAAUGAUACCUUACGAUCAUCUAAUCACAUUGUAAUAAUUUUUGAGCGAAUUGCAUAACAUCCUGAUGGUAUGGUAAUCAGACUGAAUGUUGAUAAUAAAACGAGUAAAUAUAAAAAGGAAAAAAUUUCUACGAUUCAGAAUCAGUUCGAGUUGACAUCUCUUCCUAAUAUCUCAAGUGAUCUCUACAGAUAAUGCGAAUCAAAUAUUUCAAAGCGACUGAAGCUAUGAAAGCGGUGAUAAACUUGGGCAUAGAUGAUCCCAUUAUAAAUCAGUGGUAUCGUCAGCGAGAAAAACACUGUUACAUUCUCUACGUUGAUGAUAAACCCGCGUAGAAUGAAUCCAUAUCUGUUGAAAGUUUUAUGUAAUCUUAGAAUGUAUGUACUUCUGUAAGAACAAGGUAUUGAACAAUGUAGAUAAUGAGCAUUAUACGUUUAGCCAAUAAAAAUAAAUGUUCUUAAAAUUGUU
Molecule: long non-coding RNA, 2798 nt
Organism: Harmonia axyridis
Lineage: Eukaryota; Metazoa; Arthropoda; Insecta; Coleoptera; Coccinellidae
Exons: 3
Source: RefSeq, a predicted model, not a curated record